GUUCACAGUGUCUGGUAUGAUGCUAUGUUUUAGCUUUGGGAGCAAAACAGUAUUGCUAAUACACUGAUGUUUCGGUGUUGCUGAGCAGUGCUGCACAGAGCCACAGACAUUUCAGCUCCUUGUGCUGCGCUGCAGUGAGGGACUGAGGGGCAACAAGGAGUUGUGUGGAACGGAACCAGCACUCCUGACUCAAACUGGGCACAGGAAUGUCCGAUGCAAUAUGGCAUCAUGUGAGAAAAAUACAAAACUGCGGGGAGUUGGCUGGGGGGGCACUGCUCAAGGACAGGCUGGGCAUUGGUUGGCAGAUGGGGAGCAGCUGUGUCGUGCAGUGCUUGUUCUGUAAAUACAUAUCAUCAUUACUGUUGUUUUCCUUUUCCAUUUUCUGUCUCAGUAAAUAUUUUUUAUCUCAACCCAUGAGUUAUUUGGGUUUCUCCCCUCCCCUGUCUUCUCUCCCCCCAUCCUGGUGGAACGGGGCAGGGAGUGAAUGACCACAUGUGUGGUGCUGCACUGCUGCCAGGUGAAUCCAUGGCUGGCUUUGACCAGAACAGAGAAAAUAAGUGCACAAUUGGGAAUACCAAGCAUAGUCUGUUAAAGAGAGGCAAGGAGGUCCCCUGGGCUUGUCUGCAUCGUUCCCAUAGUGUGGAUCAGGCCCUGCACCCAGCCUAGGUCUUGCUCCCAGCCUAGGCCUCUCUCCCAGCCUAGGCCUCACUCCUGACGUAGGCCCCGCUCCCAGCCUAGGCCUUGCUCCCAGCCUAGGCCCCGCUCCCGUACUAGGCCCCACUGCUGGCCUAGGCGCCUCUCCUAGCUUAGACCCCACAACAGGCCCUGCUCCCAGCCUAGGCUCUGCUUCUGGUCCAGGCCCAACUCCAAGCCCAGGCCCUGCAUGAGGCCCCAGUCCUGAUCUGGGAAGGAGAGGAAGUGUCUGCGGUUGAAUCCGGACGUUCCCGUGUGGGCCUCCAAGCAGCGCAUUCUGUGCACCCUCAACCACAGCCUGAAGGAUGUGCUCAACUACGGGCUCUUCCAGCCGGCCUUCAAUGGCAGAGCAGGGAAGUUCCUGGAUGAGGAGCGCCUGCUGCGGGAGUACCCCCUGAAUCCCGACACUCCCGUCCCCUACCUGGAGUUCCGGUACAAGCGGCGUGUGUACACCCAGGCUUUACUGGAUGACAAGCAGUUUGCCAAGCUCCAUACCAAGGUAAGGCUGGAGUUGAGCCUGUGAGCUCAGAGCCCUGAGUGCAUGCACAGCACCAAUGGUCCAUGCUGAUGGGCAGCGGUCUCUGAGGGCACCAGGACCUGAGGGGGUUCAGCCUUUCUCGCUCGCCGGAGCUCAGAUCCCUCCUGUGAGCUGCUGGUGUGGCCAAAGCCGGGGUGGUUUUUGUGCAUUUGGUGCAAUUGUGUGUGUUGUGGUGGGCACAUGGUGGGCACUGCUCCGUUGGAGGUCUGGGUGCCAGCUGUGUGCAGGGCAGUGCAGGGGAGCACACGGAGGGUUGGCUGAAGAGCAGCUUUGUUCUGUUCUGUGCCCUGGGUGGGUGAUGGAACGCCCAGGAGCACAAUGUGGACACUGAGCAGCCUGCUGUCCUCCCACUCAGGGGCUGCUGCACACCUCCACUGUUGGUCUGCCGCUCCAGGCACCGUGGGCAGCGAGGGAGGAAUGUAUGAAGGUUAAUGGCUGGGGGUGUCCCUGGUGGCACAGCUGGCACUGCGGGGCUGGGGCGGUGGGGGUGAUGGGUGCUGUGGGGCUGAGGUGCUGGGAGUGAUGGAUGCUGGGGUGACAGGCACUGUGGAGCUGGGGCACUGGGGCUGACAGGUGCUGGGCACGCAAUGGUUGGGUGGACGCUCUCCUGCGUUGCUCCUUCCCAGCCAGCUGCAGCAGCUCCAUGAUAUCGUUUCUCAUCUAAGAAACCAAUAGCAAUGAGUGUGGAGAGAUCUGGACCAGCAGAGGAUUUCUGUUGCCACUGAUAAUUGUUCCCUGAGGCACAGGGCUUGUGGGGAUGGUGUUGGUUCCUGGGAGACUGGGGCCAGCAGUGGGCAGGAGGAGCGGGCUGGGCAGCAUUGGUGUGGCUGGGGGUGGGAGGACACCCUCAGCACCCACGAAAUGCAUCCCAUUUCUAGGGGAUCCCGUGGGGAAAUGGGGCUCAUGGCAGAGAGCAGAGCUGUGGAGGGCUCCUGAGGUACCUGUGCAGUGGAGGAAAGUGCCAGGAGGCUCCGGGGUUCUUGUUAAGAAGGCUGUAGGAUGCAGAACUGCUCAUGCUGUAGGGCUGCUGGCUGCUGGCUCGCUCCUGCUCGUGUGUGUUCUGUGAGGGAGGCAGGAGGGAGGUGUAAGCUCUACAUGAACAUGCACAGCAGCAAGACCAGAGCUGGGUGGAGCCACAGGCAGAACACGAGGGGAAUAAAAAAAAAACAACAACUUUGUCCCAAAGGGCUUGACCUACUGCAAAGGUUAAAAUCUUCAUGGGAAGAAACACGUCCUCUGUCUUCCUUCAGCAGAGUAGCAGAAAGGAGGAAUAAAAUGCUGCCAGGGCUCAGAUCUGACUCAUGAAGAUGAAAGUCGUGAGGUUUCUGUCUUGUGGCAUAAGAAUAUCCAAGCAGCAGAUCUGGAAAAGGCUCAGCAUCUCCCUGGCGCCAGGAAACAUGAAUCACUCUGAGCCCUGCCAGUGGGAGCCACGCUUCCUGCAGGGAGGGCUGAGCUGGGGAGACCCGGGCGGCAGCGUCUGAGGGCAUCCCCAGGAGUGUGCAGGAGCCAGAAAUGUGCUUUAUUAAAUAUUCACUUAAUCUCUGUGCUUUAAUGUCUGCUUAAAAUAACAAAUCUCCUUCAAGUCGUUUCUUUACUUUUAAGCUGUCCCUUGCUACUGAGGGACGGCAUCCAAGGGAGAUGUGCAGCCCAGCUCCCAUUCGCCUCCAUCAGGAGGAUGCUGAUGUUCUCCUGGAGCUGCGGUGCUCCUGGGGCCAGCAGAGCCCCAUUCCUCUCCAGUGCAUGGCUGAGCAAGGGCGGGAUUGUUUCCGUGUUAACUGAAACGAAGCCUUAUCUCCUGGGCAGUGAAAUGCUG
Non-coding RNA from Meleagris gallopavo (turkey), 3044 nucleotides. NCBI's taxonomy places the organism in Eukaryota, Metazoa, Chordata, Aves, Galliformes, Phasianidae. The record is from RefSeq and is a predicted model, not a curated record.